CCUCAUAAGAAACAUUGUCUUAACCCCCACAGAAAAAAAAGUUAACAUUUUCCCUUUUUUUUUUUUUUACAAGUGUAAAUGCUACAGUGUACCACAUUACAUAUAGAAAAACAACAACCCUGCAUUCAAAAUGCUACUGCAGCUAAUAACAUUCAACUAGACUAAGUCUGUAACUGUUAGCAGAGCCACUAGCUUCUUCCAGUUACACUAAAAACAUCUCAUAAGAGAGUGUUUUCAGGUAAGGAACAGCUUUAUGAGUAAGUGAUGAGGUACUCGGGAUAAAUCUGUUGUUUUUCAAAGACAACAUAGAUGCUCGGAUCGCUCUCCCUGUCGACACAGCUGUCGUAGUGGGUUUUGCUGUCUUCUUUUGGCGGAGGUCGGACAUAGCUGCUGUUCCCCUGGGUGUACUCCCCCACCAGGACCAGAGCAACAAACAUGGUCUUCACCGGCUGUCUGUUGACUGUUGUAUUUUCAUCCAAGUCAGAGUCCGGGGUAUCUUUGUCCGAGUAGGGGACAUACCUGUCUGAGUAGGAUGCAUCUCUGGCAAAGUAGCUCCCUAGAAAUGGAAUAGAAGUGUUAUAGCACGAUACAUUUUGACUAUAACAUCAGCACGACAGAAAACACCUCUUUAUUUCAUGACUUGUUCAUUGUAGUGUUCGAAGGGUUACAGAAAUUGGUAUUGUGGGAAAUUAUUUCCCAGUGGUGGUUAAAAUCCUGUCUAUGCAAUGGCGUAAUUUCAGCCAAUUUAAUUCUUCAUACUAAAAUCAUAAAUACAACAGUUUAUGGGCUGCAAAAUGUUAAUGAGAAGGGUCACAGAAAUCCGAAAGGAAGCAGUUUAAACAUUACCCAAUUUUUUUUCGUACCUUUGCCAUAGAGAGUGCCAUUUACACCACACAUCCUCCAGUCGAAGUUUUGGUCACAGAUGGCAUCAAUCAGCGACUGUCUAGUCCCGUGGAACAAGUACAGCUGAUUCACAGGAAAACGUUCUCCAGAGUUUGAGAGGUGACGGAAGCUGAUGUGUCAGCUACACCCUAAAGAAGAAAUGAAGAGUCGACAUGACAGAAAUCUGAAAGUGCCCAAUGUGUGUGUGGGUUGAUCAACGCAGCUUGUGUCACGUCCUGGGUCACAGUAGGCCUUCUCGAUGUCCUCCAUGUCAGGCAGGUCCUUCCAGGUCACUCCGUCACUGCCUAACACCUGCCACCUAUAAGGAGGAGCCAAACUUACAGUUGUCCUGGAAAAAGUGCUGGCAGGCGUGGAGCUUGUUGCAGGACGUCGUCUUCUUGCAGGAACCGUGCAAACCAUUACCCUUGUUGUAAAAUGGGCAGAUCUAGAGGAUAUGGGAGGACAACAAAUGUGCAUUGCAGUUUAUUCAGAAAUGUAGUAAAUAUAGAAAGUGUUGAGUGCAACUUACCUCUGGAAGCAGAGAGGGAUCAUUCUGCAGUAACAGCUGGAACAGCUGUUCAUCAGUCAGAUCCUGAAGACCAUGUUUCUUCAAAAGCUCUGCGUUGUUUUCAAAAGUCAGGCUGUGGUUCUUUUUACACUUUGGUCUAAAAAGAUAUAAGAAUUAAUAAAACAUUGAAUGGAAACGCUUCCAAUUCCUCGAGAGAUUAAACAAAAAAACAGUACUUAAUUUAUACUACAAGUGAUGUGGAUCAUAGUCCAUUUUGCAGUGUGUUCAUAUUUAUAUAAUAAACUUUAAAAAGUACAGUAUUUCUCUUUUGAGUUCUCUAGCAUGUUAGUAUUUGGGUUGCAAUUUGAUUACACCCCUAUGUCUGCAGAUCUAAAUAGUGUCCUUCAAUUCAAGAGAGUAAACUUGAUUUUUAGCUGUUGCGCAAAUAUUGUGUUUGUCUGGGCACUCGAGACUGUUAUGUUUGAUCUUCAAAGAUGAAUGAGAAAAAACAAUGUUCUACUGUACCCCUCUCUAAUUAAAUAACUAUUCUGUAUUUAAAAUAUAUAAUAACACCUCAUUUUAUAUCAUUUCGCCUUACAUUGUUAUAUCCUGGUUUUAUUAUUCGCAUUUUAAGAUGUCAUUUAUUUAUUUUCUCUGAAAAUCACUCGAUAUUGUCUCUGUUUGAAAUGCAUAACAUUAAAUCUCCCUACAUGCAUGUGGAUGUUG
This is a long non-coding RNA of Notolabrus celidotus (New Zealand spotty), 2116 nucleotides long. RefSeq lists it as uncharacterized. The record is from RefSeq and is a predicted model, not a curated record. The transcript is spliced from 4 exons. NCBI's taxonomy places the organism in Eukaryota, Metazoa, Chordata, Actinopteri, Labriformes, Labridae.